ACCACCAAUAAAGAAAUUAACGUCUAACUUUUCAUUUAGCAAA
Molecule: non-coding RNA, 43 nt
Filed under: Bacillus methanolicus MGA3
Lineage: Bacteria; Bacillati; Bacillota; Bacilli; Caryophanales; Bacillaceae
Source: RNAcentral